This 329-nucleotide unclassified non-coding RNA is filed under the name plant metagenome. Its description in RNAcentral is "partial contains 5.8S ribosomal RNA, internal transcribed spacer 2, and large subunit ribosomal RNA". The stretch from base 1 to 105 matches the Rfam family "5.8S ribosomal RNA", at positions 50 to 154 of the family's 154-position model. The record is from RNAcentral.
GAAAUGCGAUAAGUAAUGUGAAUUGCAGAAUUCCGUGAAUCAUCGAAUCUUUGAACGCACAUUGCGCCCUCUGGUAUUCCGGGGGGCAUGCCCGUCCGAGCGUCAUUGCGAACCCCUCAAGCACGGCUUGUGUGAUGGGCCCUCCCGCGUCUUGGUCGUCAAGACGGGCCCGAAAAGCAGUGGCGGCUUCGCGGUUAUCCGAUCAGCCAGAGCGUAUGGGGACUUUCUUUCUGUCACACGCCCGCGGCGCGGACCGACGCCUGUCGACCUUUAUUCAUCUUUUUCUCGGUUGACCUCGGAUCAGGUAGGGAUACCCGCUGAACUUAAGC